GUGGGGAAUCUUGCGCAAUGGGCGAAAGCCUGACGCAGCCAUGCCGCGUGAAUGAUGAAGGUCUUAGGAUUGUAAAAUUCUUUCACCGGGGACGAUAAUGACGGUACCCGGAGAAGAAGCUCCGGCUAACUUCGUGCCAGCAGCCGCGGUAAUACGAAGGGGGCUAGCGUUGCUCGGAAUUACUGGGCGUAAAGGGCGCGUAGGCGGACAGCUUAGUCAGAGGUGAAAGCCCAGGGCUCAACCUUGGAAUUGCCUUUGAUACUGGCUGUCUUGAGUUUGGGAGAGGUGAGUGGAACUCCGAGUGUAGAGGUGAAAUUCGUAGAAAUUCGGAAGAACACCAGUGGCGAAGGCGACUCACUGGCCCAAUACUGACGCUGAGGCGCGAAAGCGUGGGGAGCAAACAGGAUUAGAUACCGUGUAGUCC
This 424-nucleotide ribosomal RNA is filed under the name uncultured bacterium. RNAcentral describes it as "partial 16S ribosomal RNA". It matches the Rfam family "Bacterial small subunit ribosomal RNA", at positions 354 to 796 of the family's 1533-position model. The record is from RNAcentral.